This 508-nucleotide ribosomal RNA is filed under the name uncultured bacterium. RNAcentral describes it as "partial 16S ribosomal RNA". It matches the Rfam family "Bacterial small subunit ribosomal RNA", at positions 30 to 523 of the family's 1533-position model. The record is from RNAcentral.
AUUGAACGCUGGCGGCAUGCCUUACACAUGCAAGUCGAACGGCAGCGGGGGAGAAGCUUGCUUUUCCUGCCGGCGAGUGGCGAACGGGUGAGUAAUACAUCGGAACGUGCCCUGUAGUGGGGGAUAACUAGUCGAAAGAUUAGCUAAUACCGCAUACGACCUGAGGGUGAAAGUGGGGGACCGCAAGGCCUCAUGCUAUAGGAGCGGCCGAUGUCUGAUUAGCUAGUUGGUGGGGUAAAGGCCUACCAAGGCGACGAUCAGUAGCUGGUCUGGGAGGACGAUCAGCCACACUGGGACUGAGACACGGCCCAGACGCCUACGGGAGGCAGCAGUGGGGAAUUUUGGACAAUGGGCGAAAGCCUGAUUCAGCAAUGCCGCGUGUGUGAAGAAGGCCUUCGGGUUGUAAAGCACUUUUGUCCGGAAAGAAAUGGCUCUGGUUAAUACCUGGGGUCGAUGACGGUACCGGAAGAAUAAGGACCGGCUAACUACGUGCCAGCCGCCGCGGUAA